RNAcentral lists this ribosomal RNA (253 nucleotides) under uncultured bacterium. RNAcentral describes it as "partial 16S ribosomal RNA". It matches the Rfam family "Bacterial small subunit ribosomal RNA", at positions 524 to 776 of the family's 1533-position model. The record is from RNAcentral.
UACGGAGGAUGCAAGCGUUAUCCGGAUUUAUUGGGUUUAAAGGGUGCGUAGGCGGAGCAAUCAGUCAGCGGUGAAAUCUACAGGCUCAACCUGUAACCUGCCGUUGAAACUGUUGCCCUUGAGUAUAGAUGAAGUAGGCGGAAUUCGUUGUGUAGCGGUGAAAUGCAUAGAUAUAACGAGGAACCCCAAUUGCGUAGGCAGCUUACUAAACUAUCACUGACGCUGAAGCACGAAAGCGUGGGUAUCCAACAGG